This 318-nucleotide unclassified non-coding RNA is filed under the name uncultured fungus. RNAcentral describes it as "partial contains small subunit ribosomal RNA, internal transcribed spacer 1, and 5.8S ribosomal RNA". The stretch from base 1 to 73 matches the Rfam family "Eukaryotic small subunit ribosomal RNA", at positions 1759 to 1831 of the family's 1831-position model. Lineage: Eukaryota; Fungi. The record is from RNAcentral.
GCAAACUUGGUCAUUUAGAGGAAGUAAAAGUCGUAACAAGGUUUCCGUAGGUGAACCUGCGGAAGGAUCAUUAAUGAAUUUGAAUCGCCUUUUGGUCGUGCUGGCUUUGCAAGUGCACACUAAUUGGUUUCAUCCAACACCCUUGUGCACCUUUGGCCUCGCGUUGUAAUGUGCCUCGGUCUUUUAGGCCUUGGUGCGGAUCGCGCGAGGAUAUUACACAAAAUCGUAUGUAACAGAAUGUAGAUCUAGUGCGUAAGCACGAAAUGUACAACUUUCAACAACGGAUCUCUUGGCUCUCGCAUCGAUGAAGAACGCAGC